Molecule: unclassified non-coding RNA, 61 nt
Filed under: synthetic construct
Source: RNAcentral
GUCGUGUGCGCUUUGCUUCGCCUCUGCUUCCUGUCACAGAGGUGAAGCGAAGUGCACACGG